Molecule: microRNA, 21 nt
Filed under: Homo sapiens (human)
Lineage: Eukaryota; Metazoa; Chordata; Mammalia; Primates; Hominidae
Description: hsa-miR-6890-5p
Source: miRBase by way of RNAcentral
CAUGGGGUAGGGCAGAGUAGG